Patella vulgata (common limpet) is the source of this 724-nucleotide long non-coding RNA. RefSeq lists it as uncharacterized. The transcript has 4 exons. Lineage: Eukaryota; Metazoa; Mollusca; Gastropoda; Patellidae. The record is from RefSeq and is a predicted model, not a curated record.
GUUGAACUACAAAAAACUCAUAUAAAUAGAAUUAAUUUGAUAACUCCUAGACACUUCAUGGGUACACAGUAAUUUGUAAGAAAUUGUAGUAAACCGUGUUUGAUCUAAAUAGCAGGAUGAAGGCUUUUGCUUUUUUAGUUGUUUUUCUCGCCGUAGCAGUUACAGAAACCAAUGCUAAUGAUGCAUGUAGUACAUGCAAACCACCGGAAGCUGGUGCUGCGAGUUCUGAUUGCAAGAAGAUAAGAAAAUACAUUGAUUGUGUGAUAACCGCUCGAUGUCCAGGUCUAGCUGAGAUAAAGCUGAAAUUUGGUUAUGAGAGCUGUAGCAGUGGUGCUGGUCGAGCCAUAUCAUGGAUGUUGCCAUUGGUUAUGUUAGUAAUGUCAAAGACGUUCUCUGGUUAUUAAACAACAAGACGAAGAAAAAGAAGUACCCAUAUCUAUCAAUCUACAGCGUAUUAAUGUCCAUCCGCAUUAGCAUAUGAGAAAUAUGUAAAAAUACCAAUAAAAUAUUAUAUACCAGAACAAAUUUAAACCUCUUCUAAUUAACUUUAAUAUGUUCCAUAGAAUAAAUACAGUUAGUAAUCUGCUUUAAUUUCAAAGGUUCUUGAACCUAUAUAUGUAGCGUUAACCGAAUAAACAUAAUAUUAUAAUGUAGAUAUAUAUAUAUGUCACUUUAAGUAAAUAAAGAUAUAAUCAGUUUUAGUAAAUAAGCACAAUUAAACGAU